Molecule: non-coding RNA, 3555 nt
Organism: Phasianus colchicus (ring-necked pheasant)
Lineage: Eukaryota; Metazoa; Chordata; Aves; Galliformes; Phasianidae
Source: RefSeq, a predicted model, not a curated record
CUGCGACACACAUCUUGGGUAACUCCUUGAUGAGAAAAGACUGAAUCUCAUGCUCUACCACAGCCAGUUAUGUAUUUCUGUUGGUUUCUGAUCAAGCAAAUGUGUGAAAUUCAAAACAGGAGUGCUGACAGCUAUUGUGCCGAUUGGGGAAUAGUGAGAUACACAGGCUCUGAAAAUAACAAUAUCACGUCUUUCUGCACUUGUUGAGGUGGAGGCUGCCAAUUGAUGGCCUGCAGCUCAGACGCAGCCUGUUCCUGAAUGCUUCUGUUCUGUUACAUCAUAGAAAAACGUUUCUUGUCCACUGCAGCAGUCAAUAAGUUGGGUGUCCUGCCUGAGCUGGCUGAAGCUCCUGUGUCCCCAAUGUCUGUCUCCGCUCAGACAAGCUAACAGGCCCCAGCCCACCCAACAAGCAGCUGGCGAGUAGCUCCCAGUGCCGCAUGUGGCUCUGCCGCUGAUUCACUGCCUUGACAGAGAUCCAAGGGCCCCACUUCGCACUCCCUCCAGGGCGUGCGUGCGUCUGCAUGCAAGCACGCCACAGGCAGCCCGUGCUCCAGCCCUAUCUGCAGAUAGCGAAUGUAAAUCACCCGCAGUGUUGCACAACCACUGCGUUAUAUCCGUGCAGAUCGGUCAGUCUGCUCACCUGCACGAGUGCUUGCUCCCAUGUCUCUGCCUGGUGCAUCCUGUGCUGGUGUUAAUGACUUCAGCCACCUGGCUCCUCCACAAGGGCAGCCUGGCAUCCCUGGCACCAGCAAGGACACGCAGCAGUGACAGAAGCCAUACCCUGCCUGCCUCCCCUCCUCUAAGCAUGGCUGUGUCUCUGUAAGAGUGCUUUUCUCCUACAUUGCUGUUUCCUUGUUCCCAUCAUCCUCCAUUGUCAUCCUGCUUCUUCCUUUUUCACACGGAGGAGUUAAAGCUAACCUAAGUGAGUGCCACACAAGCAGACGAGAUAUAGCCUGAACUGCAUUUGCAUCAGUGGUAGUCUGAGAAAAACAGAACAGGGAUGUUUAAUUCUAGAAGUUGUCCUGAAUCACACCUUCUUCAUAAAUAACAAAAGUAGCCGAAGGAAAACUAUUCCAGCUUUCCUGCUGUCUCAUAGCAUGAUUGCAAUGUCCAAGGCACCCAGCACUGGGAUGGUGGGAACCUAGCUGACUUACAGCUUUCCUAGGGGCGCUGAGCUCAAGCCACACUUGGUUCUCUCCCUUGGUUUCACCAAGCAUAAAGGUGAGCUUGCCACAAUUUGAGAUCUUUCUGAGAAGUUCCCGAGUUACUGCUGUGCUGGGGAGAAGCAGUCGCCCCAUGGCUCUUACAGGGUGCAUGUUGCUCCCUGUCCACCUUAAGGUGCAACCGUGAGACACACUCGAUGCAGACUGUCUACUCCAUAGGAUUUCCCGGUAUUUUGAGGAGACGGAAAGCAAAAUGUAACGAUCUAGUGCUUUAAAGGAGGACUGAGCAUUGGUGGGAGGCUUGUUCAGUAUCUGAGUGGGAUCAUGACUACGAUGUUCAUCUGCAUGUUACCGGCGUGAAAAUACGCAAUUGGGAGCGGUUUGAAGACGAGUGGGCUUGGAAGAAAGGAAAACUAUUCCAGGGAGGGAGGAGGAAGGGACUGCUAACGUUUGCAGCACGAAGAUCAUGGAGAAGAUGGAGAUAUCAGAACAGGAUAAUUUGCAGGAGGAGGAAAUCAGGCAUAGAUCAUUAGCGCUUUAUGGGAGGCAACCCUAAAAGCAUGCUGGGAGGAUGGUAUUUCCCCUCUGGGCAGCAGCAGGCGAUGCCAAACCCGCCUGCUGCAGAGGCAGGAGGUUACCAGCCAACCCAGCACACAUCGACCCCGUGGGACCUUUCUUUCAAGCACGCCAUGAGCGUGCUGGCACGUAGAGAUGCUGGCAGCCACGUUUCACAGCAGCGAUGAUGCAAUAUGGCUCUUGUUUCAGAAGCAUCUCCUUCAAGUUGACAGAUACUGUUAGCAUCUGAUUCUGCUCGGAUUGCCAGCGCCGGGGUUUGAGAUGCUUUCCCGAUGAUCUCUGAAGGUGCAGAAAGUGCACGGUGGCUGUGAAAAGCCUUCCAGCCUGUGCUUAGCAGGACGGCCAGCUGCACGCUUCAAGUAUGUGAAAAAGCCAACAAAUAACAGCUCGCUGCUUUUGCCCGGUGCUUUAAGCCAGGGAAUGAAUGUUUGCAGCUCACUUGGGAUUUGGUUGUGUUUGGUGGGUUGGUUCACGGCACCAGGACCUUCCAGCAAUGCUCCUCCAGUAUUCUUCACAUUCUUUUGUCUGAGAGAGGGGAAAAUGUAUGACUGAUUCUUGCUUAAUUAGGCCUCAUCUGCUAAACAGUUUUGUCACUAUUUACAUACGAGUAGUCCCGCUGAAGUCAAGUCCUACAGCUGUAUACUUCAUCUGGUAACAAUGUAAAUCCAAGAUAAACAUACUUGGAACAAGAGAAGUACAUUACCUUAUAUGUACGAACCACCUGAACAUAGCAAGCCCUGCGCAGCGCAGCUCUGGCAGAGGCCAACAGCUAUGCUGUCUCAGCACCCUGGAAGCAGAACACCUGAUUGUCACUCUUAAAUUUUGGACUGGACUUGAUGAGCUAGGGCUGACUUUUACUGAAGCGUAUGGCUUGCCACAUGAAUGACUUUGAAAUAACUGUGCCCCUCUGUGAUAAGGUGAGAAGCACUUCUCUCCAGCUACUCCAACAAGUGGUGUCUCAUGGCUGGAUCUCCCAUGGCCUGGGAUCUCUGUUCUUCCAGAGAUAACAGAGUCAGGGAUGAGAGGUAGGAGGAGUAAAUGGCUGGAAAACCCAGUGAAUAUCUGGGUUUAAUCUGCUCCAUUCCCUCCUCAAUGCUUCUUCUGCAGGAAUCUCUCUGAAGGACCUGGCAGUGACUUUUACCUGCUGUAUCUAUGUGACCACUGACAUCCUGUCUCUGUCCCUGGUCCCCCAGAACAGUGUGGACUGUUUGGUCACCAGUGAGCAUCCCUAUGGGAUUUUGAUUGCUUUAUCCAACAGACUCCUCUUCUGCUAGGUAACUCCCAUGCAUUUGGGCAUCCUGUAUUACUCUACCCAUGACCUUUUGUUUUUCCAUACCCUUUAUUUUUGUUACCCUGAUUACUACACUUUUUUUUUUUUUUUUUUUCCUCACCCAUGAAUUACUUCAGACUGAUAUGAUGGAAGUGAUGAAGAGUUGAACACCCCUUAAGCUUAAUUUGGUCUGAUGCCCUGAGACCAUCAGCAGUUGUCUAUCAUAGUGAGGUGGAGGGCUUGUGUUGAGUUAUCCUAAUCAGUUUCCCAGGAGCAUUUCAGGACAUCAUUCUAGCAUUGGCAAACCCCAUCAGCUGUGUGUCCUGUUCCAGCCUAGAUUUCCUGGAUGGACAACUUUUGUGCAAGUUUUUAGUAAGUUCAAUACUAUUACCUCAUCAGAAUGGUGUGACCUGGCCAAAUUUUCCUCUGGACAUUCCUAGCAACGGAGAGCUGUGAUAAAAAAUGGAACUAUCUGAAAGUUAAUGGGAUGAGAAGCAGGGAGAAGUGCUUUGAAUUGACAACUUCUUUACAAAUGAUGGAGCUGGA